ACCAGACUCCUACGGGAGGCAGCAGUGGGGAAUAUUGGGCAAUGGACGCAAGUCUGACCCAGCAACGCCGCGUGAAGGAAGAAGGCUUUCGGGUUGUAAACUUCUUUUAAGGGGGAAGAGCAGAAGACGGUACCCCUUGAAUAAGCCACGGCUAACUACGUGCCAGCAGCCGCGGUAAUACGUAGGUGGCAAGCGUUGUCCGGAUUUACUGGGUGUAAAGGGCGUGCAGCCGGAGAGACAAGUCAGAUGUGAAAUCCACGGGCUCAACCCGUGAACUGCAUUUGAAACUGUUGGUCUUGAGUAUCGGAGAGGCAGGCGGAAUUCCUAGUGUAGCGGUGAAAUGCGUAGAUAUUAGGAGGAACACCAGUGGCGAAGGCGGCCUGCUGGACGACAACUGACGGUGAGGCGCGAAAGCGUGGGGAGCAAACAGGAUUAGAUACCCGAGUA
RNAcentral lists this ribosomal RNA (447 nucleotides) under uncultured bacterium. RNAcentral's name for it is "bacterial SSU rRNA". It matches the Rfam family "Bacterial small subunit ribosomal RNA", at positions 330 to 792 of the family's 1533-position model. The record is from RNAcentral.